CUUGCUGGCGGAACAAUUGCUUUGUUUACCACAGCUUCCAGUUUUUUCAAUGUUAUUGUAGUUUUGUGAGCCCCGGAAGGUGUCCUAAUGCUUCAUGUGUAGCCCAACAAGUGCCCUAUAGCAAAGAUUCUUGAAGAUGUUAAAAUUUCACUGUUAUGGCUCCUAAAUAAGAACCGCUGCACUCAAGGGUGUUCAUAUCAACCCCUUUAACACUUCGACACAUUCUUACCCUCGGAUUUGUGUACGAUUAGACCGUUUUAUUCAAUAGGAAGGGUCUAUGGAGGUCCAGCUAGGCUCAUACUUAUAAACACUAACGAAGUUGCCGUCUUAACGGUAAGAAGUCGUCUUAAAUCACCAAAAUGGCGGAACUUGAGUCUUAAAUCCUUAAGACGGCAUCCUUAGCCCUAAGAAUGCGUCUUACUGCUAAAACACCACCUGAGGUAGACUAGCAGGCUGCGCGCUCCUAAGAUUUCAUCCUAAGAGUAAACAUGGCUGCUCAAGAGGAACCACACCGCCACCACCUACGAUAGAGACUGACGUUUUGUGAGAGAAAGGACGUCCUGAAUGAGCUUGAUGACCGUGAGCUGGUGAAGAGGUAUCGACUGGACGUGACAGACUUGGUGCGGGAAAGGCUGAAGAGACCAACUGCAAGGAACAAGGUCCUCUCCCCCAAAAAUGCAUCAUGCAUGUGAUCAUCACUCUGCGGUACCUUGCUACAGGGAAGAUGCAGCAGUGUAGCGCUGCUGAUGACUUGGGGCCCUCACAACAGACCAUCAGCAGGGUCAUCAGUCAUACAAUGACAAUGCCAUCCUCUCCCAAUUCAUAAGAUUUCCAGUCACCCAAAUGGAAAUUCAGAGGAGGAAGGAGGAGUUUCUUCAGAUUUCUGGCUUCCUUGAAGUGAUCGGUGGCAUUGAUGGGACGCACGUAAAGAUUGUAGCACCAAGAGAAUAUGAGGCAGAGUUUGUCAACAGAAAGAGAUACCACAGCAUCAACGUGCAGUUUGUGUUUGAUGCUCGGUAAAACAUUAUUGAUGUGGUUGCAAAGUGGCCGGGAUCGGUUCACGAUGCAAGAAUACUUGCUCAAAGUGGACUCUGCACGAUAUUUGACAACGGCAUCGUCCCAGCUGGGUGUCACUUACUGGGAGAUAGUGGCUAUCCCAGCAAGAAGUGGCUACUGACUCCAUACCUCAGACCACAGCCUGGAGCACAGUCUUCUUAUAACAGGGCCCACAAGAAAACCCGCAGCGUUGUUGAGAGGCAUCGGGCAGCUGAAGCGACAUUUUCACAUGCUACACAGUGAGAUCCGAGUUGGUCCUCCAUCCAAGGUCUGCCAAAUUGUAGAGGUUUGUGCACUGCUGCACAACAUCUGCAAAGCAAGAAACAUCAUUCUUCCUGAGGAAGAAGAACAUCUUGCUGCAGCCGAGGAUGGAGGCAACAAGGAGCGACCCCCAGUACAGGAAGUUCAACGUCGCCAUGAAGUAAUCCUUUACAGGGAUGAAUUUGUUGUGCUUCACUUCAACAUUGAUGAGUGAUGAGACACCAGUGUCAUGACUGCUGAGAUUGGUUUUAUUCUCUUGUGGAUGACCUCCUUCUCAUCCACUUAUACCAGUGAUGUACCAGGCAAGUCUGGUCCCUGUUGGUGCUGCAUCACUGGUGCUGGAAGUGGUGUGGCAGGUGCCUCCUCCUCCACACCCACUGCCUCAGUCACCACUUCUCUCUGCUGGUCUGCCUCUGCCACUUCCCCAGCAUCAUCUGCUGCCUCCACACUGCUGGCAUCAUAAGUUUUUACUUCAGAAACUAAGCUGAUAAUGCUUUUGGUUUUAUUGCUAAGGAUAAUAAUAACAGAAACCAGUAAAUCUAGCUAAUGGUG
Molecule: long non-coding RNA, 1869 nt
Organism: Portunus trituberculatus (swimming crab)
Lineage: Eukaryota; Metazoa; Arthropoda; Malacostraca; Decapoda; Portunidae
Exons: 4
Source: RefSeq, a predicted model, not a curated record